AGAGUUUGAUCAUGGCUCAGGACGAACGCUGGCGGCGCGCUUAACACAUGCAAGUCGAGCGAGAACCAGUCCUUCGGGACUGGGGACAGCGGCGAACGGGUGAGUAACACGUGGGUAAUCUGCCCUCGGCGCCGGGAUAGCCCGGGGAAACCCGGAUUAAUACCGGAUAGCCUUUCGAGCCUUCGGGCUCGUCAGAAAAGGUGGCUUCGGCUUCCGGCUGAGGAUGAGCCCGCGGCGGAUUAGCUUGUUGGUGGGGUAAUGGCCUACCAAGGCGACGAUCCGUAGCUGGUCUGAGAGGACGAUCAGCCACACUGGGACUGAGACACGGCCCAGACUCCUACGGGAGGCAGCAGUGGGGAAUCUUGCGCAAUGGGCGAAAGCCUGACGCAGCGACGCCGCGUGCGGGAAGAAGGCCUUCGGGUUGUAAACCGCUUUCAGGAGGGACGAAGCCACUCGGGUUAAUACCCCAGAGGGUGACGGUACCUCCAGAAGAAGCCCCGGCUAACUACGUGCCAGCAGCCGCGGUA
This 527-nucleotide ribosomal RNA is filed under the name uncultured Actinomycetes bacterium. Its description in RNAcentral is "bacterial SSU rRNA". It matches the Rfam family "Bacterial small subunit ribosomal RNA", at positions 8 to 522 of the family's 1533-position model. Lineage: Bacteria; Bacillati; Actinomycetota; Actinomycetes. The record is from RNAcentral.